AGAGUUCACUCUUCCUCUCUCAAACUGUACCAAAUCAGAAUCCCCUCCCCUUUUUCAGAACAACAACACCUAAACCGUACAGAAGCAUCACGAAAUAACGCCGGUGAUGGAUUUUCAAACAAUGACAAAUAAAUAAUGGUAAAUAAUCGAACGCAUCAUGCAUAAAGAGAAAGUGAUAACCUGUGAAUCCGCGGACGCGACGUCGACUUGGUCGAUUUGGCCUUCCUCUGAACUGCCUCCGCCUCCUUUUCUUUGCCGUCGUCCCUUCAGCUUAGGGUUUCAAACGGUACUCAAAAGUCCAAAGAAGAAAAAUUCCAGAAGUGUUUUUUGGUGCUCAGAACCGAGUUGUCCUGUUUGAUGCUAUUUUCCGGAAACGUGAAAAAUUACUGAAGACUCAAGAGUGGUUUGGUUCCGGUGUUGAUCACAGCUCAGGUUUUAGGUUCGGUUGACAUGGUUGCAGAGGAGCAGGUUGUAAUUUUGGUGAAAUUCGACGCUUCGGUUGUGUCAUUAGCAGCAAGAUGAACAAGAUGGAUUGCUUCUCGUUGAUGAGAACGAACUUGUUCUUCGGCGUGAUCAUUCAUCGUAUUGAACUUAGCAGCCAUAGCAAGCAGUUUAGGAAAGCACGGUUGGCUUUAGACAGUGAACCUUCCAUGUGUCUCAUUUUCUGCAGAGCAUUCCUUGACAGAUAAGUUGAUCCUUAAUCUCCAAAACUGUCUGUCUGAUAGCGUGAAAUAUAAUGAUGUUCUUAUUGUCAAACCAGAUUGCUUUUCAACAACUUUAAUAAUAUUCUCAACUUUCUUUUUUGAAGGGAGCUUGUAUAUUCCUUGGAGAAAGUCAUUUUUGUGGAUGCUGAUCAGAUUAUCAGGACUGACAUGGGAGAACUCUAUGGCAUGGAUUUAAAAGGAAGACCUUUGGCAUAUAUUCCAUUUUGUGAUAACAAUAAGGAUAUGGAUGGAUAUUGUUUUUUGUUUGCCACGUCUGGGACUCUUUCAUGGAUGAUCAAAGAUGGUUUUUCUCAUAGCAGGUUUUGGUUUACAGCAUGUGCAGCCCUUGCACAAGAAAGAUACAAGUCAAUGCAGCUCUCAAGAAGUUCUAGAUGCCUACAAACAACAGUAAAAAGGGGCGCAUCUUAGCCAGAUCAACCAUAAAUCGUAGAACAGAAGUUGCAGCCACAAGGUUCGUCUCGUCACAAUUUCAGCAUUAACACAAUGUUCUAUUUUACUCCUAGGCUCACAAGGGGCGGUCGGACGGACUUGAAGCCAAAGUAGCAAAAAUCAUGCCUCGUAGUUCAUAUCAUGCCGACAUUUACUUACGGAGGACAUACUGAGUUUGGUUUGUGAGCAUAAAGGUUGGAAGCACCUGCUGGCAUGUCCUUUUGCUAUGAGAAGUAUCACCAUCAUAUAUACCAAUAUUUAAGUCGGCAUCAAAUUCUUUUGUCACGUGUAACAAAGACCUUAGUUGAUCUUGAGCUAAUGCCUUUUGUUGGAAAUAUGUACAACGCACACGAGGAUGAAUUCUUAAGCAACUCUUCUAGAACAAGCAGGUCGUAGCAAACAGAUUUGCCACUUGACGUCAUUGUAGCCACAACAACAUUGUUUCAUCAAAAUUUUCUCUACCAACCGCAGCAUCUCUCUCUGCAGUAUUUUUGCAAGCUGUUUCUGUAAUCAUAAUAGUAAUAAUAAUCUUCACAUUCCAUCAUUAUCCAUUGGAAGGUCCAUCAAUCUUCCUCCUUUUAGUAUUUGGACUAUGUCAUGUAGCAUAAAAGCUAGUGUAGGAUUGGGACCUUUUUGUAAGAACAACAUGUAAUGUCACAUUUUAGUAUCAAUGCUUAUUCUCAUGGAUAAAUACUAGCAAUGUAUUGAUAUGGAAAUGGAAUUGUUUGUCCUUUUGGAA
Molecule: long non-coding RNA, 1893 nt
Organism: Lathyrus oleraceus (garden pea)
Lineage: Eukaryota; Viridiplantae; Streptophyta; Magnoliopsida; Fabales; Fabaceae
Exons: 6
Source: RefSeq, a predicted model, not a curated record